This 507-nucleotide ribosomal RNA is filed under the name uncultured bacterium. Its description in RNAcentral is "bacterial SSU rRNA". It matches the Rfam family "Bacterial small subunit ribosomal RNA", at positions 1025 to 1532 of the family's 1533-position model. The record is from RNAcentral.
GCAUUGGAGACAGGUGGUGCAUGGUUGUCGUCAGCUCGUGUCGUGAGAUGUUGGGUUAAGUCCCGCAACGAGCGCAACCCCUAUUUCCAGUAGCCAGCAAGAAAGAUGGGAACUCUGGAGAGACUGCCCGGGAUAACUGGGAGGAAGGCGGGGAUGACGUCAAAUCAUCAUGCCCCUUAUGAUCAGGGCUACACACGUGCUACAAUGGCGUAAACAAAGGGAAGCGAAGUGGUGACACGAAGCAAAUCCGAAAAACAACGUCUCAGUUCGGAUUGUAGUCUGCAACUCGACUACAUGAAGCUGGAAUUGCUAGUAAUCGCGAAUCAGAAUGUCGCGGUGAAUACGUUCCCGGGUCUUGUACACACCGCCCGUCACACCAUGGGAGUCGGAAAUGCCCGAAGUCAGUGACCCAACCGAGAGGAGGGAGCUGCCGAAGGUGGAGCCGGUAACUGGGGUGAAGUCGUAACAAGGUAGCCGUAUCGGAAGGUGCGGCUGGAUCACCUCCUU